This 253-nucleotide ribosomal RNA is filed under the name uncultured Thauera sp. RNAcentral describes it as "partial 16S ribosomal RNA". It matches the Rfam family "Bacterial small subunit ribosomal RNA", at positions 1131 to 1382 of the family's 1533-position model. The record is from RNAcentral. Lineage: Bacteria; Pseudomonadati; Pseudomonadota; Betaproteobacteria; Rhodocyclales; Zoogloeaceae.
UUGGGCACUCUAAUGAGACUGCCGGUGACAAACCGGAGGGAAGUGGGGAUGACGUCAAGUCCUCAUGGCCCUUAUGGGUAGGGCUUCACACGUCAUACAAUGGUCGGUACAGAGGGUUGCCAAGCCGCGAGGUGGAGCCAAUCCCUUAAAGCCGAUCGUAGUCCGGAUCGUAGUCUGCAACUCGACUACGUGAAGUCGGAAUCGCUAGUAAUCGCAGAUCAGCAUGCUGCGGUGAAUACCGUUCCCGGGCCUU